Cygnus olor (mute swan) is the source of this 1196-nucleotide long non-coding RNA. RefSeq lists it as uncharacterized. The record is from RefSeq and is a predicted model, not a curated record. The transcript has 3 exons. NCBI's taxonomy places the organism in Eukaryota, Metazoa, Chordata, Aves, Anseriformes, Anatidae.
CUUCAUCCUUAAGCACACGCAGAGCUGGAGCGAGGGACUGUGCAGGCAAGGGGAGGCUUCAAUGGUGGAGGGACACCUCAGGGUUUGUGGUGGGCUGGAUGACCUCCAGAAGUCCCUUCUACAUCAACCAUUCUGUGACUGUGGCAGCCCCGUGCUUUAGGAGGCAGGGAAUCACCUCUGGUGCUGGGUGGCUUCGUGAGGAGGCUGGGCAGGAUGUCACCAUGCCUCUCUCACCAGCUGCUGCUGAGCACAGAGGUGAAAUGCAAAGCAAGAGGUGGCACAGGGGAAACGGCAAGUUGCAUGAGUGUCCCUGCUAAUAAUGAGUUCCCCAUCCACAGCAACAGACAUCUGGGUUUAGCUUUUGCAAUAACGCCAUGCAGAAUAUUUGCAAUGCUCAAAGCAAACUCCUGCAGGUACUGUGUCAGAACCACGAACCCUUUGUAGGCCCGAGGUGGCUCCUCGCCUUUCUCCACCACCCUGAAGAUUGUAGUACAGUCCUCGCACCUCCUGGUGCCAGAUGCUUGCUGUCCUAUGGCCCCAGGGUUACCUGCUUAUCUGGGCACCCCACCAGAUGAAUUCAACCAAAUCUUCAGUAAGUGGUGAAAUCCUCAGACAACUGAGCACUCUCCCUCAUUUAGUGAAGGCAUCCAAGGAGGAUGCAGCCACUGAGGCCUAGGCUGGGGACCGGCAGGAAAGCAAGCGUGUGAUCAGAGAAGUGCAAGAGGCUGGGCUCUUCUGCAGUCCCUUUGGGUCAUGCAGGUUCCUGGUGGUCUCUGGGGCACCUCACAUCACCCCAAGCAACCUCCCAGCCAUCCUCUCACAGGCCGUGGCUAAGCCCUGCAGCUUUCCUCCACAACUUCAGUCCCCAAAGAACUCCAGAGGAUUUAAAUUCUGAGCUCCUGUAGCGCUUCUGAAGAUGCUUGUCUAAAAUCACAGUUAACAAUUCAAAGCAAGUACAUGAAGAUGAAUUAAUUCAGUCUUGGUUCAUUCAGCAAUUAACCACACAGUUCCCUGAAGCAGUUUUAGCAACCUUUGAGUACAACUUAGUGUCAGAAGUUCAAAAACAUUUUCUGUUUCCUCUGUAUUCUUUAUGCUAUUGAAAAUCAUGCAGAUACAGCAUACUCGCAGACGUGCUAUGCAGAUACUGAGGAAUAUUAUAGUUUAAAGUAAACUCCAAACAUAAGAAGUAUAGCAUA